Molecule: ribosomal RNA, 440 nt
Filed under: uncultured bacterium
Lineage: Bacteria
Description: bacterial SSU rRNA
Rfam family: Bacterial small subunit ribosomal RNA
Source: RNAcentral
UAACGGAAGGCAGCAGUGGGGAAUAUUGCACAAUGGGCGCAAGCCUGAUGCAGCCAUGCCGCGUGUAUGAAGAAGGCCUUCGGGUUGUAAAGUACUUUCAGUCGUGAGGAAGGUGUUAAGGUUAAUAACCUUAGCAAUUGACGUUAGCGACAGAAGAAGCACCGGCUAACUCCGUGCCAGCAGCCGCGGUAAUACGGAGGGUGCGAGCGUUAAUCGGAAUUACUGGGCGUAAAGGGCACGCAGGCGGUUAAUUAAGUUGGAUGUGAAAUCCCCGGGCUUAACCUGGGAAUGGCAUUCAAGACUGGUUAGCUAGAGUCUUGUAGAGGGGGUAGAAUUCCAUGUGUAGCGGUGAAAUGCGUAGAGAUGUGGAGGAAUACCGGUGGCGAAGGCGGCCCCUGGACAAAGACUGACGCUCAUGUGCGAAAGCGUGGGGAGCAAAC